Molecule: long non-coding RNA, 497 nt
Organism: Poecile atricapillus (Black-capped chickadee)
Lineage: Eukaryota; Metazoa; Chordata; Aves; Passeriformes; Paridae
Exons: 4
Source: RefSeq, a predicted model, not a curated record
AUCAAUGAAGAAUUUUCAAGCAUGUGAAAGGGGAAUGCCCAGGAAGAAAUUCCCUGCAGGUACCUGUCACCACUGUGGCCCUGUAUGCCCCAGUCAGGCAAGACUAAGGGGAAGCUCUCUAGCUACCUUGUCCUUUUUUCUGAUAAGCCCCAAGUGACCAGUAAUUCCUACAAUAUAUGGUGUGUUGGCCGCCUCCAUCUCAUGGGAUUGUGUCUGCUCUCUCACUGGCAAGCUGAAACUUUUCAUGAAGACUUUAAUAAAUCCCUUGGGGGUUGGACCUUUCUGCAAAUAUAUAUUUGUGGUGGUACUAGAAAACACAAUACGCCAUGGAAAUAUUGAGAGUCUUGCCACUACAGCACCAAGGUUGAGCUCCACAGAAGGAAGCUCUGCCCUGAGCUUACCCUGGACCCUCAGCCAAAGCACUGGGGCUGUCCCUGCUGGGUGUGAGUGGGUUUGCACUUGCCCUUUGCCAGGAGAGGUGGGGGCCAAGAACUUUA